Neopestalotiopsis sp. 37M is the source of this 106-nucleotide non-coding RNA. NCBI's taxonomy places the organism in Eukaryota, Fungi, Ascomycota, Sordariomycetes, Amphisphaeriales, Sporocadaceae. The record is from the annotation of a GenBank genome assembly.
GCCCAAUUGGUCUAGUGGAAUGAUACCUGCUUCGGGCAACACUCGAGGUCCAUUCAUCACCAGAUGAGUAUGCAGGUGGUCCCCGGUUCGAAUCCGGGAUUGGGCC